CACCACCACCAACACCUUAUCAUCCUGCUCCGAUUUAUAAAUCUCCACCACCACCAAACCCAGUUUACAAGUCGCCACCACCACCGAAGAAGCCAUACUAUCCUCCACACACUCCAGUUUACAAGUCACCACCAACAACAACACCAGUCUACAAGUCUCCACCUCCACCAACUCCAGUUUACAAGUCACCCCCACCACACAAGAAGUCAUACUAUCCUUCACACACACCAAUUUACAAGUCAACACCACCACCGCCACCCAAGAAGUCAUACUAUCCUCCACACACCCCAGUUUACAAGUCUCCACCACCACCAACUCCAGUUUACAAGUCUCCACCACCACCCAAAAAGCCAUACUACCCUCCACACACCCCAGUUCAUAAGUCUCCACCACCAAUUCCGGUGUACAAGUCGCCGCCACCACCUAAGAGGUCAUACCAUCCUACACCAGUUUACAAGUCACCACCACCACCACCAACGAAGCCAUACCAUCCUACACCAGUUUACAAGUCACCAACAACAACAACAAAGCCAUACCAUCCUUCACCAGCACCAUACCAUCCUGCACCAGUUGACAAGUUUCCACCACCAUCAAAUC
This 597-nucleotide long non-coding RNA is filed under the name Capsicum annuum. RNAcentral's name for it is "long non-coding RNA (CANN_LNC006488)". The record is from RNAcentral. Lineage: Eukaryota; Viridiplantae; Streptophyta; Magnoliopsida; Solanales; Solanaceae.